UUUAAUAACAUGUAGAUUGAGACAAACCAUUACAAGUGCCGAUAAUGUUGUCGUUUUCCUUCUUAUAUCUUAAAUUUGCCUUGGAUUUCAGGAAUAUUACGCAACUGAGUUUUUGUCCAUUUGCUCUGUCUCAGUUUAUUAUUAAUCACUGUUGUUCUUCUCCAGGCUUUAUUGAAAGCUCUUACGUAACUGCUGCAAAGGAAAAAGAAAAUUGAAAGAAAAGGUUAGAUGAUGAAGGGAAGAACAACCAACAAUGUUCAGUCGAAUCGGUCCAUGAAGAAUGGUAAAAGAGAUCAAAAGCCACAGAAGACCAACGGUGCUAAAAGAUCUUCAGUGAAAGAAAAACUCAAAGCUUUAGACACUAAGGAAGAAUCUAAUGUCUCACUAGUAGUAAAUGAUAUAGCUUCACAAUCAGAGCUCUUUGAGGUUGACGAGACAGUGGAUGAUACGGCAAAUGGGUCUUUAGAUACUCAACAAGUGUCCGACUCUGGUAGAGUUACAGAGAAAAUAGAGAAGGAAGAAACUGUGAAUGGCCCGGCUUGUGAUAUGGAGAAAGAUGAUGAAGAAGAAGAAGACAAAGACCUUGAUGCUGUAGCUAAUGAAAAGAUGGAUUCUGCAUCUUGCUCUGAAAGUGAGAACGAGGCAUGUGAUGUCACGGAGAGAAGUGAUAACUUAGAGGAUGAAGAAGCACUGAAACAACAGGUUGAGGAUUUGGAGACAAGAAUUGAGAAACUUGAAGAAGAGCUAAGAGAAGUUGCAGCGCUGGAGAUUUCGCUCUAUUCGAUUGUACCAGACCACUCUGGCUCAGCUCACAAGGUUCACACGCCUGCUCGGAGAAUUUCAAGACUCUAUAUCCAUGCUUGUAAACAUUGGAGUCGAGGAAAGCGAACAACCAUCGCUAGAAACACCGUCUCUGGUCUCAUUUUAGUUGCUAAAUCUUGCGGAAAUGAUGUUUCCAGGUAACACAAACACAAUUUAACAGUAUGAGUGUUGUAGCUUUUAGGAUCUUGAUCUUCUCAGCAUUUUCUUGGUUCCAUAUGUUUCAGGUUGACCUUCUGGUUAUCGAACAUUAUCGCUUUAAGAGAGAUUAUUUCUCAUGAGUUUGGUAAGUAUCAUGUUCCAAGUCAUCUCACACAGACCUCUGUAUCAAAUGGUAGUGAACAAAGUGGUUCAGGGAAUCUAAGAAGGAAAAAGAACCAAUGUACUCAAGAAUCAAAUAGUUUCCAAGAUUGGCAGGAAAGCGAAACCUUCACUGCAGUAUUAGAGAAAGUCGAAUUCUGGAUAUUCUCUAGAAUCAUUGAAUCUGUUUGGUGGCAGGUGAAGUAUCAAAUAAAUACUCCUAUCUUAAUAUGAAGAAAGAUCCCUUCUUUCAGCUAUCUCAAAUUUGUUCGUGUUCUCUCCUGUCUUUUCAGGUUUUCACACCUCACAUGCAAUCCCCUGAAAACAGCAGUAAAACGAAUGAGAAACCUGUAUUGGGAGAUGAAGAGCAAGGAAGUUUUUCAAUCAGCCUAUGGCAAAACGCGUUGAGAGUGGCUCUAUCACGGCUCUGUCCUAUGCGAGGAUCAGGGCACGAGUGCGGUUGCUUACCUAUUUUGGCCAAAAUGGUACUCAGAUAAGUGCAAAGGCAGUAGCCUAAAGUAUGUAAAGCUAUUGGAAUCUUAUUUUUUUGUCUAUCUCUUAACAGGUAAUGGAGAAGUGUAUAGCUCGAGUUGAUAUAGCCAUGUUCAACGCUAUAUUGCGUGAGUCAGAGCAUCAGAUUCCCACUGAUCCUGUCUCCGAUCCUAUCCUCGAUUCCAAAGUUCUGCCUAUCCCUGCUGGACACUUAAGCUUUGGAUCCGGUGCACAGCUUAAAAACGCGGUACAACAUCAAGAAACAUGAAUCAGAUUAUUGUUGUUAUAUACACUUCAUAUGAGAAGAUACUAAUGUCCUUGAAUGUUAUAACCUCUCGCUUCUAGAUUGGCAAUUGGUCUAGAUGCCUCGCUGAAAUGUUCGACAUCAACACGAGAGAUUCUGUGGAAGAAACUGAUCUCAUUGAAAGCGAGAAAUCCUUCAGUUUGUUAAAUGAACUUAGCGAUCUACUUAUGCUCCCAAAAGACAUGCUUAUGGACUUAUCCAUUAGAGAAGAGGUUUUGAUUCUUUAUCUCUAUUACUCUUAAGUUCUUGAUUAUGCUCUCUUCAAACUGACUUUUUGUCUUUGAUUGAUUCAUAGGUAUGCCCAUCGAUAAGCCUUCCGUUGAUCACAAGAAUACUCUGCAACUUUACACCUGAUGAGUUCUGUCCUGAUCAUGUCCCUGGAACUGUCCUAGAAGAGCUUAAGACCGAGGUAACGAAUGCAAAUCAUUCUUUUUACUCUUCACUCUUCUUUGCAUUCACUAAACCUUUUGUUAUUUUGAUUCUCACCAGAGCAUUUCGGACCAGAAGUUUUCAGGAGUUAGCUUCCCUUAUGCAGCUUCUCCUGUUUCAUACACUCCUCCGUCAUCAGUCAAUGUAGCAGAGAAAGUUGCAGAGGUAGGAGGAGACAUCUCUAGAAUGUCGAGGAGCGCGUCUGUGAUACAGAGAAAAGGAUACACGAGCGACGAGGAGCUUGAGGAACUGGAUUCUCCUCUUACAUUUGUUAUCGACAAAGUGUUGGUAUCAUCACCAAUCUCGAGAGAAAUUGGGAAGGUGAAGCAGGAAGAUGAGCAAAUAGGUGCAGUGGUUACAAAUGUAAGAUAUGAGCUUCUUAGGGAAGUGUGGUCUAUGUAAAUUGAUUAGAAGCCAAAAUAUUGAGUUUUCUAGUGAAGCUCUAGUUAUACCAAUUCACAACUGAAGCAAACCAAGUCUUUUCAAAGUUAUAUAUGCUCCUAGACCAUUGUAUUUAGCUCGGUAAACAGCUCCGUUAACAACAAUCUCACCCAUAGAUAUACUAAUAAGUGGGAAUUGUGUUUUUGUAGACCAACUUCUUGAUUUUAUGUAUCUGCUUCUCAACUUCUUGACAAAAGGCUGUUAUCUUGGAAUCUGCCUAAUCGGAUCUAUAACUAUAAUGUCAACUAAGCGCACAUCCUGAUCCAUACGUACAUUGUAAAAGAGAUGGAAACCAACUGGAAGAGGAAGACAAGAACAAAAUAUAAUCUUGUUACUCCUCUGACUGAAGAAUUUUGCCACCAGGAUCCAAAAGGAAACACGAGAACAGCUCAGGUUGUACUAGGAUAUUGCAUUAAUAACCGACUCCCAUUUGAAAUUUCAAGCGAAUACUUCAAUUUCCUGAUCAACCAAGUCCUUCCAUUUUUGCGUUCCAAAGAACUUUUCGAAGUUUCCAUCUUUCUACUUCUGAGUUUCGUAAUUUAGCAAAUAACUAUAGAGAAAAAGAAAGGAGGAUAAUAGUAUAAAAAGAAGGAAACACACAAAAAUCCCACAUCGGUAAGUAAAUAAGCGUUACUCAUAGCCUGGCACUAUAAAAAAGAAGCUGAGCCCAAUUUACAAAUCAUACCUUUCUCGGCCUUUUGGCUAAGAUCAAGUGUAGUAUCUGUUCUUAUCAGUUUAAUAUCUGAUAUGUGGGCCAUCGGCUCACACGAUAUUAACUCUAUUUUUUGAGGGAGAAAGCCCACUAAGGUAGCUUGCUACCUGGGCUUUCGCGAGUCGCCCAUGCGUUGCACUAUUGCACGGGCCUGGCACAACCCACCAAAUUAACAGUUUAAUUCUAACUAGUUAAAUUUAGUAAAUUUAUACUAAGUAGAAGUAUGUAACCUUCGUGGGGAGGAAUUAUUUUCAGAAACUUGUGAAGGUGUCAAUGUCGAUAAAGACCGAUUCAAUUUGGUAAAAAUAAGUCGAAGACUUGUAAGAUGCUUCAAAAGAUGGCAUUAGCGGUGGAAGUGAGAACGAAGUGAUGAUGUCAAAGAGAAAAGUGAGGAUGCAGAAGCUCUGAAACUAAAAGACGAAAAAUUGGAGACAGAAUCAAGAAACUUGAAGAAGAGCUAAGAGAAAUGUUGCAGUGCUCGAGAUCUCACUCUAUCCGGUUGUACGAGACUACUCUAGCUCAGCUCACAGGCUUCACACUGCUCGCCGAAUUUCAAGACUCUAAAUCCAUGCUUGUAAACAUUGGAUUCAAGGACAGUGAGUAACAUUAUGAGUGUAGUAGCUUUUAGAAUUUUUACACCGUAUCUGAUUUCAUUUUAGUUGUUAAAUUUUUGCGGAAAUGAUGUUUUCCAGGUAAUAUAAACACGAUUUAACAUUAUGAGUGUAGUAGCUUUUAGGAUCUUGAUCUUCUCAGCUCUUAUGUUUCUUAUGUUUCAGGUUUACCUUAGUUUGUUAAACGAACUUAGCGAUCUAGUUACGCUCCCAAAAUUCAUGCUUAUGAAUUUAUCCAUUAAAGAAGAGGUUCUGUUUUGAUAUCUCCAUCAAGUUCUUGAUUAAGCUCUCUCAAACUGAAGUUUUCUUUGAUUGAUUCAUUGGUAUGCACAUCCAUCAGAGUCUUUCACUGAUCAGAAGAAUACUCUGCAAGUUAACACCUGAUAAUUUCUGUUCUGUUCAUGUCGCUGGAGCUGUCCUACAAGAGCUCAACAGCGAGGUGGCAAAUUUAAAUACCUUUUUUACUUUCUUUUUGAUCUUUGCACUCAGUAUACUUUUUACUUUCCGUUUCUCAACAGAGCAUUGCGGAACAGAAUUUAUUAGGACUAAAUUUCCCUUAUGCAGCAUCACCUGUUUGCAUACUUUCCUCCAUCAUCAAUCGACGUAGCAGAGAAAGUGGCAGAGGUAGGAGAAGAAGUCUCUGGAAUGUCCAGAAAUGCUUCUGUUAUACAAAGAAAAGGAUAUACAACCGACGUGGAGCUUGAGGAACUGGGAUGAUUCUCCUCUUACUUACAUUUGUUAUAGCCAAAGUAUCAGUAUCAUCAAUUUCGAGAUACAAUGGGAAAGUGCAGAGGUUUGAAAUGUAAGAUAUGAACUUUAGAUAAGUGUACUCUGUGUGAAUGAUUAGAAACCAAAAUCUUGAGAUUUUUUAGGGCAGCUCAUGUUAUCAUAUAUAUGAGCUUUUUAGGGAAGUCCCGAAGUUUUUAUAUGUAGCUGUAAGAAUUUGAUCAGAUAAAUAUGCUCCUAGAGAAGAGCAUUUAGCGUUUGAAGAGCCAACCAACUCUUUAACAACAAUCACAACCAUAAGGACACUAAUAAUUUGGAAUUCUCUUUCUUCUGACCCAAUUUCUUGAUUUCAUCUAUCUGUUUCUCAACUAUUUCAACGAUACUCAAAACCUAUUCGGAUCUAUAAUGUUAAUUUAGACCGAUGAAAGCAAACAACUACCGUAUACACAGAAUCUGAGAAUAAAAUCUACUUGACUAUGUACACUGCAUAAGAGAUGGAAACACAUUGGAGGAGAAAGAAAGAACAAAACCAAAAUCUCGGUACUUCUUAGGCGUAGACAAUUCUACCUCAACCUCUCAAAUUUACAGAGAGAAUACUUGGUUCGUGAUGGAAGAGAAUUUAUCGUAUUCUUUGUUUGAAGAAAAAAGAAAUUUGAGUUAGUAAAAUGAGGCUGUAUAAAAGUCCCACAUCGGCAUUCUAAAGAAGGUUGCUCAAAAGCUUGGCUCUAUAAAAAAGAAACCAAGCCUCGCUUACAAAUCAUACCUUUCUCGGCCUUUUGGCUAAGAUCAAGUGUAGUAUCUGUUCUUAUCAGUUUAAUAUAUGAUAUGUGGGCCAUCGGCUCACACGAUAUUAACUCUAUUUUUUAAGGGAGAAAGCCCAUUAAGGUAGCUUGCUAUCUAGGCUUUCACGAGUCGCCCAUGCGUUGCACUAUUGCACGGGCCCGGCUCAACCCACCAAAUUAGCAGUUCACAAUUUUUUACUUCUUAAUUUAUUUAAGGUAAGCACUAACUAUGCACUUUUUAACAUAGAGAAAAUGUGAAAAAAUCGGAUGGGUUGAUAUCAUCAUAGUUGGUUAAAUAUCAUCUAAAUCGUAGUAAAGUUACGUUUAUAUGGAGCUAAACUGUUUGAUGGAAAAGUUGCAGAUUUCUCAAUCAGCCUCAGCUCUUUCGCCACUUGCAGAUUUCUCAAUCAGCCUGAGCUCUUUCGCCACUUGAAUCAUGCUAAUCAACGGGUCUCCUAAGUUGUAUCCGAUGCAUCUCAGCGCUAAUCUAAGAAAGCAUUUAACCGGGGAAGCAGCUAGAUUGCUCACAUCUCUACUUAUAUCUGAAUCUAUAACUUCUGCAUACCCAAACUUCCUCAAUAUCUUCGAAACGUGAUGGUGAAGCGGGAACAGCGCAUCGUCAUCAGGUUUGAUGAACAAAUCAGCUAAUGCUCUAAGCAUAUCCGAAGAUAAAGAUAGCUCAUCAUCAACUUCCUUUAUCUGCAAAAGAGCUAGCAAGAACGUUCCAAAGCUGUACAUAUCGGUCUUUAUUGUGACCUUACCGGUUGACUUGUAUUCAGGAUCAAUGACCGGUAAGUAACACACACCAAGUCCAUGUGUUUCCUUUAAGGUAUUGCGCCUAAACUCAUGGUACUUCUGUAAUGUAUCAUCAUGAACAUAAGUCUCUCCUUCGGGAAUGGAGAUACAGUUACAAAAAUUCCCGAGCUUUGCGAUCCCAUUCUCAUCUAAGAAAUGGUGAAAGGAUCUAGAUUCGAGUGAAUGAAAGCCCUUGAAAAUGCAGUGUGAAGGUAAGUCAAAGCGUUUGCGACCUCUCUUGCUAUCUUUAUCCUCCUCAUGUGUUUUGGAUCAGACGCAACUAAUGGACCAAGAGUUAUAAUCUCAGCAUACUCAAAGACUAAGACAGGAGGAGAGAACUCAAGACAGCAUCCCAAUAGCUUGAGGAAGUUGUUAUUACCGGAAACCAUUGAUGAGAUUGCUAUGUCUUGACAAAUCUCUUUCACAUCAAGCGCGUAUUUCCCUUUCUUGAUGAGUACUGGACGGUCAUCGAGCAUGCCUUUAUAGCAACGGUAAUAAACAUCAAUCCGGGAAGCACGGUUACUUUGGCAGAAGUUAUUUGUUGCUUUGAUGAUCUGAUCGGAAGAGAAGUUUCUGAUAGGAUUGCAUUUUCCAUCACAACAUUCAACGAGCUCCUUCAGAACAACCUCACCAUUCUCUUUGACAUUCUUUUGCCUUGUCUUGGCUCCAAUUCGUUUUGAUCUCCACAAAUCCAUCUUAUAGAACUCUUCAAAGUUGUAUCCUUUAGAGCAAAAGAAGACAAAAGCUAAUCUGUGUGAAUGCUUUCCCCUAGAAACUCCAUCAAUCCACACUCAACAGCUGGAAAAUACAGAGAGAAUAGUAGAUUGGGUUUCAGAUGUCCCCCAAAACCACCCUCCAGAUCUCUAGUGUCUACACAACAAGACAAGAAUUGGAAUAUUCAUUACACACAACAUCUCUUAAUGGAGCUACUAAGAAAUAUUCAAUAGUAGUUGAUGAGUUUUAUUGCAAUUAAUGUAGAAGUAAUGAACACCUAAGCUGAAAUGGAGACAAGAAUUGGAAUCCGAUCCAUAAUAAUGUCUACGAAAUUGGAAAGAAUCAAGAUCGUACCUCAGAAGCGAAAGCAUCAUCAAUUAUGUAGAACACGAGAACGAAGGCAUAUCAAGAUUAAAUAUUAGAUAUAAUGUAUCCCCGGGGGAAAAAAGUGGUAUUGGUCCAAUAAUGUAGUCGGCCGAAGAAAAGAGUUGACUUUCAAGAGCAUCCACACAUUAGAGGGAAUGUGUUCAGUGUUCACACUUUGUUUAUUUCACUUUGGAGGCAAAGUUACCAUCUUUAGUUUGCCCAGACAACAACAUUAUCCGUAAAUGGAAUCUAGAAGAAACAAAUAUGAAAAUCUGGUUCUUGAUAUAUAACAAAAAACUUUCGAGACAUCACUAUAUUCUCAAAGGUUAACAACGUUCAAGAAUAAAGAAACUAAUGAAUGAGGACUAGUUAAGAGAGUUUCUCAAUAAAUUUGAGCUCUUUAGCAACUUCAAUCAUACUACUCACUGUAUCUACUUUCUUGUAUCUUACACAUCUCAAAGCUAAUCUAAGAAAAGCUUCAACCUGUGACCGUCUCGAAACCAAAUCAUCACCAGCCGAAACGUUCCAUAUCUCUUUAUCAACAAUCUCUUCAAACCCACCUUUCUCCAUAAUCUCAGACACAUGAUCGUUAAGCGACAUUGGAGUCUCGUCUGGUCCAUUAAACACAGCAGCUCUUCCGGACAACAAAACCAACAUCACAACUCCAAAGCUAUAAAUAUCAACUUUCUCUGUAACUUUCAUUGUCCAGUAAUAAUCUGGAUCAACAAACCCAAUAACCCCUUUCACAUCGUCUUCUACAUACAAUUCCCCUUCUGGUAUUGCAACACAGAACCAGAAAUCAGAAAGCUUCGCCGUCCAAUUCUCGUCGAUGAAAAUGUUCGUCGGGUUUAUGUUCCGGUGGAUUAUAGCCUCCGGAAACGCCGUGUGGAGAUAAGUCACAGAACUCGCAAUCUCUUUGGCAAUCUUCAAUCUCACUUUCCAUGGCAAAACCUCUCCGCUUGAGAUUCCUCCGUCUCUGUUGAGCGGACCGUGUUCUGUGUACUCACAUACUAAAGCCGGAAGAUCAAACUCCAAGCAACAACCUAGGAGCUUAAGAGCAUUCUUGUGUCCACUCAUCUGAGAUGACACGGAGAUAUCGCGAUACGCUUCUGUGAAGCUUGAAAGGUUUUGGCUUGACCAUUUCUUGAUUGAGACGGGUCUGUCUUCGAUUACGCCUCUGUACCAGAUGAAAUAUCCCCAGCUUGAGAUGACUCGGCUCUCGGAGAAAUUGUCGGUCGCUUUAAGGAUCUGAUCGGAGGAGAAGCAACGAAUCGGAUUGGUUUUGCCGUCGAAGGAUACGAUUAGCUCCUCCAAUAGAAUCCCUCCAUUUGUCAAAUCCGAUCUGUUCUUCUUCUUGUUUUUGCUCAUUAGAUAAUCUUACAAGAGAAACAAAUUUUAAACUAAUUAAUCUCAAAGAGAAAGUUCAUGUUUUUGUUUUUCAAAGGAGCAACUUUGAGGACCUGUUCUUCUUCUUGACAAGUUUACUCAAAAUUCCGCCGAUAGGAUUUUUUCAGUUUGACCCAUAUAUUUUCAGAUUUUACAAAUUGAUCCAAUAAAUUAUAAUAUCUUGGUGGCUCCAUUAUACAUACAACAAAAUCAAGACACCUCCUCGCCUAGAGGUACUACAUUCUUUACGUGUUCAAACACCAGAACUCUUUAUUAUUACAAAUUCACCCAGUAAAGUUUACAACAUCUCUUCUAGUUCUAUGUCCAUCUCUCAAUCCUUUUUAGUUCCUUGGCCACUUCCAUCAUCUUUGGAACAUCACCUCUGUUACCAGUGCAUCUGAGUGAGAGCAUAAUGACUGCUUCCAUUCGCUGUCUCUCGCGUUCUUGAUUUUCAUCACCAUCCAUACUUUCGAACAUAUUUGGAUCCAAGAUCUCAAAGAUUCUUCCCUCUUCCACAAAUUUGGAUACCCUAUCUGAAAUCCUCAGAUUCAUCACAUUUUGUUCGGAUACAAACUUCUCAGGCAUACGUUCAUCAUCACUGCAACAAUCAACCACUCUAUGCUUUGUGGUCAAAAGAUUUUGCAACAACACUCCAAAGCUGAAAACAUCGGUAUUCUCAGUGACUACACCAGUCGUCACAUACUUAUACUCGAGGUAAUCUAAUACUCCUUCUACUCUGUCAGCAUCAACCUUAACAAAUGUCUCUCCUUCUGGAAUCGAGACACAGAGACAAAACCCACUUAGCUUUACUGUUCCAUUUGAAUCCAAGAAAAUGUUAGAAGGUUGUAUAUCCAUAUGGAUCAUAGUUCUUGAAAACGCGGUGUGAAGGUAAGAAACAGCAAUCGCAAUCUCUUUCGCUAUCUUAAUUCGCAUUCCUAAUCCCAGGUUUGGAGUAUUGGAAGGUAUACGUUCUGCAUAUUCACAAACUAAGACCGGAUAUUCAAACUCGAGACAACAUCCUAACAGUUUGAGGAAAUUCUUGUGACCACUGACCAUUGAUGAGACCGCUAUGUCUCGACAGAUCUUUGCUAAUGUAUCAGAUGUGUACAGCUUCCAUAUGGGUCUUUUGAUUAGGACAGGACGGUUUUCGAGGAUACCUCUGUACAUGAGCUCGAACCGAAUCAGGUGGUUGCUCUCGCUGAAGUUAUUGGUGGCUUCGAGGAUUUGGUUAGCAGAGAAGGUUUUGAUUGGAUUGGAUUUGCCGUUGCAAAGCUCUAUGAGAUCUUCUAAGAGGACCUUCCCGUUCUCUUUGAACAAUUUCAGCCGUUGAUUUGUUUCUGAGUUCUUCUUAUGUUUCGUCUUGUUCCUCCAAAAAUCCAAUCUUCUGAUCAACAUGGGCAUGGACGGAUCAGUAAAAGAAACUCCAAAACUUGAGGCAAGAUGAUUUCUUUCGGAGAAAAGAUGAAGAUGGGUCAUAGGGAAAGUUUUGUCCAAUACAUUUGAGUCAAAAAUAAAUAAAUAAAAGUAUAUUUAUAUAUAGUUCGUACUGUAUGUUAAUCAACAUACUUUGAGAUCCACUCGUUUACAUACUGAAAUUGCGAUCUGAGCAAUCAUUUUCGGCGAUGGAAUUCUGGAGAAGGAAGAAGGAGAAGCGCAAGGCGAGAGAGUGUUUUCUCGAAAACGGAAGCACGUUUCUUGAGGAUCUCAUCGCCGACUGUAACGGCAUAUCAAACCCUAUCCGAAUGUUCUCUUCCGAUCAAAUCUCCAAGGCCACGAAUCACUCCGAUCCCCAGUGGUUGGGUUCUUUCUCUGAGUACUUCAUCGGCGUAAUCGAAGGCAGAUCAUACGCGAUCAAGAAACUUAUAUACUAUAGAGAUAAGUGGGAACCAGAGAGUUACAAGGAUAUAGUCAUAUCUGCUCGGGUAAGCAAUCACAGUGGUUUCCUCAAACUCAAAGGAUGCUGUCUCGAAUUUCCUUAUCCGGUCGUGGUGUUUGAGAAGCCAGAGUAUGGAGUUUUGAACCAUGGAGGAAGUGUUGGUGGCGAGGACGAGCCGUUGUUGCCUUGGAAUGUUCGAUUGAAGAUUGCCAAGGAGGUUGCGAUCGCUAUUACUUAUCUUCACACGGCUUUUCCCAGGAUCAUUAUACACAGAAAUAUCAAUCCAAAGAGUGUUGUGUUGGAUAAGAAUUGGACGGCUAAGCUGACUAAUUUCUCGAUUUCCGUAAUACUCCCAGAAGGGAAGACGUGGGUCGUAGAUAGGGUGACAGGAACUCUCGGAUACUUAGAUCCGGUUUAUUACCAUUCGGGAAUUGUGACAGAAUACACAGAUGUGUACAGCUUUGGAAUCCUUAUGUUGGUUCUUCUUACGGGAAUACCAGCAUUGGGUCCUGAAGGUAGCAUUCUUCGUUAUAUAAAGGAUUUGCAGGAGAGAGGAGAAACUAUUGAAUUCGGGGGUGAUUCCAACGACAUGAGGCUUGCUGGUCAGAUGAAAAUGUUUCUUGAGCUAGCAUUGAGAUGCUGCGAGGAAAGGAUUGAAGACAGGCCAAAGAUGAUCUUGGUGGCAAAAGAGCUUAAGCGAAUUGAAAAAUUACUCGAUUGUUAAACCCUCCUGAGAUGCUGCAAAUUUGGAUCUGAGGAUGGUCAGGUUUAAGAUUUGAGAUCAUGCUCAUACUAGUGUUCUGUAUUGUGUAUUGCUUGAUUUCUUCCUUUAAUAAAUAUAUCUGUUAACUUUCAUUUUGAUUCAGGAAUGAGUUUAGAAGGUAAAUAAAUCCAUCUUCAGGUUCAGAAAGCAGGCAGAAUAUGAAAGAUGGUUCUGGUUUUCAGAAAAGCUCAGUGUUGUACUAUGGAGUAGUUCUUAGCUUUCGAUUUAGAUCCCAAAGCAGGAGCCAUAGUUUCGAGAACUAGCUUAAAAUUAUUCUCAUUGGAAUUGUUUAUCUCGAUUAGGAUACAACGCUGAAACCUCAUGAAAGUUUUUGUGUUGAUCAUUGAGUGAGUUUCAAACUCGUUGACUUGAAAAAAGUUGACUUUCUGAAACUUCAAUGGCGUCAGAUUCAGCAUUAUUAUACUGUUAUAUAUUCACCAGGAGCCAACUUUGAAUGCCAAUUAACAUUUUGAGACUGCAAAGGCAUUUCUUUUCUUCAUUGACCCGAAGAAGAUCAUGAGGUUCUGGAGAAAUAAGGGCAAACAGAGGAGGCAACAGUGGUUCUUGGACAACGGAAGCACUUUUCUCAAAGAGCUCAUAGCUGGAUGCAACGGUAAGACAAAUCCUAUCCGAAGCUUUUCUUCUGAUCAGAUCCUCAAGGCCACAAAUGGCUUUGAUCCAAGCCGCUAUGUCACGAGUGACCUUUACUACACCUGGUACACGGGUAACAUCGAAGGUAGAUCUUACAUGAUCACGAUGUUUCCCGAGGAGAAAGUCAAAGGAGAUGGAGAUGGAAUUGGAGCCGUUUACAACGACAUUGUCAUAUCUGCUCGUGUUACCAGUCACAGCAAUUUCCUGAAGCUGUUGGGAUGCUGUCUCGAGUUCCCUUUCCCGGUUCUGGUGUUUGAACAUGCAGAAAACAGAACUCUAAGUCACCAAGGAGGUAUCGGUUCCAAGUAUACAGAGUUCUUGCCUUGGGAUGUAAGACUAAAGGUAGCAAAGGAGAUCGCCAACGCGGUUACUUAUCUUCACACGGAGUUCCCUAAGAUCAUUGUACACAGAAAUAUAACUCCCAUGAAUGUUUUAUUGGACGAGAACUGGACGGCUAAGCUGUCUGAUUUCAGGUGGACAAGUUUGUUGAGCUAACGUUGAUCAGAUGCUGCGAGAAGAGUGUGGAGAAGAGACCGAAGAUGAUCGAUGUCGCCAACGAGCUCAAACGGAUUGAGAGAUCACUAAGUUGAUGUACAUUUACUGGUCCGAAAGUAAAUAAGACUAGUACAUAGAUCCGUUUUUUAUUUCUUGCUAUAUUCAUAAACUCACAUUACGGUUUACACCGGUUUCUUACCUCCGAUUUUUUACGGUUUAAUACACUCUCCGUAGUGACUUGUUGAAAUGUGAUCAAAUUCGAUUUUGAUGUUUGGGGAUUUGUGCAGAGAAGAAGAUGAAGGCGUCGAUGAAGUUUCGGGAGGGCUAAGGUUCUUCUGAGUAUCUGAGGUUUACCGUUUCAAUCGGGAAUCGUCGCCGGAGAAUCCAAGGAGCUCAGCCUCGAUCUAUCUACUUUCUUCGAAUCUGGGCCUUCUCUGAUAAUGGAAUCGAUGAAGAAGAUGUUUCUGAAAUCAGGCUCUGGGAAAAUGAAGGAAAAUGACAUGAAGAAGAGGUGGUUUUUGAACAACGGAAGCAAAUUCGUAAAAGAACUUAUCGCUGAUUGUAACGGUAAAUCAAUUCCUAUACGCAGUUUUUCAAAUUCCCAGAUCAUUCAAGCCACCAAUAACUUCGACUCAAGUUGUUUCGUCGCGGAAGAUGCGUACUAUAAGUGGUACACAGGUAAAAUCGAAAACAGAUCCUACAUGAUCAAGAGAUUCUCCGAGGAUGAAAUUACAGGACACAGAAUUGAAGAGGUUUACAAUGAUAUAGUCUUGUCUGCUCGCAUGAGCAAUCACAACAACUUUCUAAAACUAUUAGGAUGUUGCCUCGAGUUUCCUUUUCCAGUUAUAGUGUUUGAAUACGCAGAACAUGGAGUUAUGAAUCAACGAGGAGGUAUUAUUGUCAACGGGGAGGAAUCUGUGUUGCCAUGGAGUUUACGAUUAAAGAUUGGAAAGGAGAUUGCUAAUGCUGUGACUUAUCUUCACAUGGCCUUCUCUAAGAUCAUCAUACAUAGAGAUGUUAAGCCAAUGCACGUUUUCUUGAGCAAGAACUGGACUGCAAAGUUGUCUGAUUUAUCUUUCUCAAUAUCUCUCCCUGAAGACAAAUUAAGUAUAGAAGCUGAAAGAAUCCUGGGAACAUUUGGGUAUCUCGAUCCCUUAUAUCAUGCCACUAGUUAUGUGACGGAAUAUACCGAUGUUUACAGCUUUGGAAUCUGUUUGUUGGUUUUUCUCACUGGCAAACCGGCUGUGUUCACGGGAUCUGAUGGAGAUCCCCAAGGUCUUCUUAGCUAUGUGAGAGGGCUAUGUGAGGAUGGGAAGCUCGAUGAAGUAAUAGAUCCAAUGAUGGCAAAAGACAUCACAAGUGGUCAAAGAUUGCAGUCGGAGGCGUGUGUUGUACUUGCGUUGAGAUGCUGCGAGGAGAGAGAUGAAGACAGACCAAAGAUGAUCCAAGUAGCUAAACAACUCAGGCGGAUUCAUACGUCAUUUUUGAGAUCUUAACUAGGCAUCCUCUGUUCUGAGACAAACUCUACCCAACUAUUAUUGCAUUUGAAUUCUUGCCAGUUUGAUGUUUUUGUAGCCUCAAGAAAGAAUUUCGUGACAUGUCUUUGUGAGAUCGGAGCAGUUAAUCACAGAAUAUAUGAUGAAGAUAGGAGCAUCUAUGGUGUCCAAAAGAAGAGAUUUUUUAGUUGCUUGACUUAUCAAGUAAUACUUAUCUUCGAUUAUACCUUUGUACCAUAUUGUUCGAUUAUAGAGAUAAAGUAUAAAAUCCUUGCAUUAUGAAGAAUGGAUCCUCAGAUGUUUAGAUACAACAUAUAUCGUGAAAGAAAGCUCGAAACAAGAAUAUCAUAACAACUUUCACUACUAAGAAGACUGCAUAAUGGAUAGAUAGUUAGAUCCGUUUUGAAUCUCACUAGAAGAGUUCAUAUAUGUUUUUAGUUCUUUUGCAACCUCUAUGAUGUGAGAGCACAUUUUCUCCUGGUCUGAAACUUAAUACAUUUUAAAGCAAGUUCAGUGAAUGCUUCCAUUUGCUGUCUUAACUGAUCAGGAAUGUUGUCACUUGUGCCGUUCAACAUUGACGGGUCUAUCAGUUCAGUGAACGGACCUCGCUCAAGAAUCUUCUGCACAUAAUCAAGCAAAAGAACAGAGUAACCAUCAACCAAAGGUGCUCGAGACUUUCCUGUCAAAAGAAUCAGCAUGAUGAUCCCAAGGCUAUAUAUGUCGACAUUCUCAGUGACCAAACCUGUUCUAAGGUAAUUGGGUUCGAUAUAGCUGGUUGUCCCACAAACGAUGUCAUAUACGCCUGAUUCUCCCUCUGGAAUCGAUAUGCUGAGGCUGAAACAAGACAAUUUGGCGGUCCAAUUCUCGUCCAAGAAAACGUUUCCAAGUUUUAAAUCCCUAUGAAUUAUAGUUUUCGGAAAUUCAGUAUGGAGAUACGUUACAGCAUCUGCAAUCUCCUUAGCUAUCUUCAAUCUUACAUUCCAAGGCAAUGGCUUAGCGCUUUCCCUUGCAUGUCCUGUAAAGGUAAGAGCUCCAUUUUCCGGGUACUCAUACACGAGAACCGGAGUAGAAAACUCUAGACAACAUCCCAAGAGCUUGAGGACGUUCUUGUUGCCGCUCAUCAAAGAUGAGACGGCGAUAUCACGGAAAAAAUUGUCAGGGCCGUACUGCUUCUCUUUAUAUGCUUUGAUUAGCACGCGUCUAUUAUCAAUCAUACCUUUGUACCACACGAAUCUAUCUACAGAGCUCAUGUAGUUCCAGUCAAAGUUGUUUGUAGCUGUAACGAUUUGGUGGGAAGAAAACAUGCGGAUUGGAUUGUAUUUACCUCCUGUAGAUGCAAUGAGUUCCUCCAACAGUGAGCUCCCAUUUUCUUGGCUUAGAAUUUCCUCUUCUUUCUUCUUCUUCUUCCUCAACAAGUUCAAACACGGCAUCUCUUCACACCCAGAAAAUGAUGUUAAACAUCUUCCUGCAAACAAAGAUACGCAAGAAAGAAGGAGAUGGACGCAAACACAAGUCAAGUCAACGAAGCCAAAGAGCCAAAACAGGUAUGGGUAGAGGCCUUGGUCUACGAUAUGGGUCUAUAAAUGGGCCUUGAAGAUAGGCCAUGAAGUAUUAAUGGACUCAACAAGGAAGAAGGAAGUCUGGCCCGUGGCGUUGCAAAGCUCUAUGAGAUGAGGAGCUUCCCGUUCUCUUGGAACAAUCUCAGCCGUUGAUUUGUUUCUGAGUUCUUCUUCGUCGUCGUCGUCUUGUUCCUCCAACAAUCCAGUCUUCUACUAAUCAACAUGAGCAUGGAUUAAUUAAUUAGUAUAAGCAAACUUGAGCCAAGAUGAUUUCUUUCGGAGAAAAGAUGAUGAUGGUUCAAAGGGAAAAUUUUGUCCAAUACAUAUGGUCAAGGAAAUAUAAAUAAAUAGGGAAUAAAAAUGUUGAUUAAUUCAACACAACUGAUGAUUAAUGGUCAAGGAAAUAUGAUGAUUCGUAUUAGAUGUUGAUUAAUUCAACAUAACUCAGAGAUGGACUCGGUUGCAUGUUUGAUAAAGAAUCUUCGUUUUUUACAUAAAAAAAAAUGAAAUUGUAAGAAUCGUCUUCUUUCUCAACGUCAACGGUAGAAAUUAGCGAUCGAAGCAACAUUCGGCGAUGGAAUUCUGGAGAAGGAAGAAGGAGAAGCGCAAGGCCAGAGAAUGUUUCCUCAAAAAUGGAAGCAUAUUUCUUCAGAAACUCAUCGCCGACUGUAACGGCAUAUCAAACCCUAUCCGAAUGUUCUCUUCCGAUCAAAUCAAGUCCACAGAUUAUUUCCAUGACAUCAAUCCCAAUUUCUUCCCCGGCGUAAUCGAAGGCAGAUCAUACGCGAUCAAGCAACUUAUACACUACAAAGAUAAGUGGGAACCAGAGGGUUACAACGAUAUAGUCAUAUCUGCUCGGGUAAGCAAUCAUAGUGGUUUCCUCAAACUCACAGGAUGCUGUCUCGAAUUUCCUUAUCCAGUCAUGGUGUUUGAGAAGCCAGAAAACGGAGAAUUGAACGAGCGAGGAAGUUUUGGUUACAAAGACGCACCUUUGUUGCCUUGGAAUGUUCGAUUGAAAAUUGCCAAGGAAGUUGCGAUCGCUAUCAGUUAUCUUCACACGGCUUUUCCUAGGAUCAUUGUACACAGACAUAUCAAUCCAACAAGUGUUAUGUUGGAUAAGAAUUGGACGGCUAAGCUGACUGAUUUCUCUCGUUCUAUUACUCUCCCUAAAGGUAAGACUUGGAUCCAAGAUUUGGGAGAUUUGGGAGCUCCGGGAUAUUUGGGAUACGGAGAUCCGCUUUAUUUCUUGACGAAGAUAGUGACAGAAUACACAGAUGUGUACAGCUUUGGAAUCUUUAUGUUGGUUCUUCUUACGGGAAUACCUGCAUUUUUGCAUUUAAUACAUGGCGGGUUGGGUUCUACAGGUAGGAUUCUUGAUUAUGUCAAGGAUCUGCAGAAGAGAGGAGAAACUGUUGAAUUCGGAGGUGAGUCCAAUGACAUGAGGCCUGGUCAGAUGAAAAUGUUUCUUGACCUAGCACUGAGAUGCUGCGAGUAUAGGGAUGAAGACAGGCCAAAGAUGAUCUUGGUGGCAAAAGAGCUCAAGCGAAUUGAAAAAUCACUCGAUUGUUAAACCCUCCUGAGAUGCUGCAAAUUUGGAUCUGAGGAUGGUUGAAUUUUAAGAUUUGAGAUCAUGCUCAUACUAGUGUUGUGUAAUGUGUAUUGCUGGAUUUCUUACCUUUAAUAAAUAUAUCUGUUUUCCGAGUAAAACUUUCAUCUUGAUUAAGGAAUGAGUUUAAACAGUAAAUAAAUCUUCUUCAGGUUCAGAGAAGCAGGCAGAAAAUGAAAGAUGGUUCUGGUUUUCAGAAAAGCUCAGUGUUGUACUAUGGAGUAGUUCUUAGCUUUCGAUUUAGAUCCGGAAGCAGGAGCCAUAGUUUCGAGAACUAACUUAGAAGUAUUCUCAUUGGAAUUGUUUAUCAGGAAUAUUAGGCUACAAAGCUGAAACCUCAUGAAAGUUUUUGUGUUGAUCAUUGAGUUUGAGUGAGUUUCAAACUCGUUGACUUAAAAAAAAAAGUUAAGACUUUCUGAAACUUCAAUGGCGUCAGAUUCAACAUGAGUAGGUCAAAGAUGUACUCCUAUAAAAUAAGCAAAAAUUCCCUGAAACUAAUGUCUGUGGUAGCUCAAAUAUUUUUUUUUGUCGCAUAUUGCAUUUGACGAUGAGACCCUGGAGAAGGAAGAAUGUGAAGGAGAAGCAGCGGAGCGAAUGGUUCAUCAACAAUGGAAGCAGUUUCCUCCAGGAACUCAUCGCCGAUUCCAACGGUAUUUCAAACCCGAUCCGGUUUUUCUCUUCCGAUCAAAUCCUCAAUGCCACGGAUCGAUUCGAUCCCAACUGUUACAUCUCUCGUCAUAGAUUCUUUACCUGGUACAAGGGCGUCAUCGAAAACCGACCUUACGCGAUCAAGAAAUUCACGGAGUCAGGGUUUACAGGAGAGAGUGUGCGAGAGGUUUACAACGACAUGGUCUUAUCUGCUCGGGUAAGCAAUCAAACUAGUUUUCUCAAACUUGUGGGAUGUUCCCUCGAAUUUUCCCUUCCGAUUAUGGUCUUCGAAUACCCAGAGAAUGGAGCUUUGAACGAGCGAGGAGGUUUUGGUUGCGAGGACGGUACGUUAUUGCCGUGGAAUCUUCGAUUGAAGAUAGCCAAGGAGGUUGCGAUUGCUGUGACUUAUCUUCACACGGCCUUCCCUAGGAUUAUUAUACACAGAGAUAUCAAGCCGAUGAAUGUUUUCUUGGAUAAGAAUUUGACGGCUAAGCUGACUGAUUUCACGUUUUCAGUAUCACUCCCUGAGGGGAAGUCGUGGAUCAAAGAUAAUGUGAUGGGAACUUUCGGAUACAUAGAUCCGGUUUACUUCUCCAGGGGUUUAGUGUCGGAAUACACAGAUGUCUUCAGCUUUGGAAUCUUUAUGUUGGUUCUUCUUACGGGAAGACCAGCAGUUUUCGCUGCAUCAAGUGGUGUUCAUUGUAAUAUUCUUGACUAUGUCAAGGAUCUACGGGAGAGAGGAGAAACUGUUGAAUUUGCGGGUGAUCCGAACCACAUGAGGCUUGGUCAGAUGAAUAUGUUGCUUGACCUGGCACUGAGAUGCUGCGAGAAGAGGGAUGAAAACAGGCCAAAGAUGAUUUUGGUCGCAAAAGAGAUUAAGCUGAUAGAAAGAUCACUCAAUUGUUAAAGUGGCUUGAAAAUGAGUCGAGGAUGGUCAAAUUUAAGAUUGAUAUCAUGCUCAAAUUUAAGUAAAAACUUCGUUUUGAUUAGGAGGGAGUCGAGAGGGUAUACAAAUCUGUCUUUAGGUUUUCAAAUACAUCCUCUGUGUCCAACUAAGGAUAAGGAGUAGUUCUUCUUAGCAUCGAGGCAUAGUUUUGGAGAAUUUGCUUUUAAGUGUUUUUUGUUUUUUUUUUUUUACUUGCAAAUUCUGUGACUUGCAAAGAGAUUAUAGCUAGAGAUCCUCUCUAUUCUUGUAACAAGAAGAGCUUACUCUGUUUCUUACAUAACAGCAGAUUCAACCUCAGGGUUAAUAAUACUUUACUGUGUUCUACCUAUUGUACUUAAGUGGGGUUAAUGUAUGAACUUUGUAAUGUUUAUUUCAUGCCAAUUUGGCCGAGCUUAUUCUGUCAGGUUUUAAGGUGGUCUAGUAUUUUGUCUGUUUCUCAAAAUCGUCCAAGAAGUAAACACUUAUUAAUCUCUGACAAAUGAAUCUCAAGCUAGCAGAGUAGGUUUUGGUUGGAUUGAUUUGCCAUUGCAAAGCUCGAUGACAUCUUCUAAGAAGACCUUCCCGUUCUCUUGGAACAAUCUUAGCCGUUGAUUUGUUUCUGACUUCUUCUUCAUCUUUUUCCUCCAAUAAUCGAUCUUCUGAUCAUUCAUCAACAUACAGAGCUGAGAAGUGGAGGAGCGAGCAUGGAAGGGUUCAAAGAAAGACUUUGACUCAAGACGAAUUUCUUCCAUGAAAAAAGGUGAGGAUAGUUCAAAGGAAAGUGCAUCCUUGAUUUUUUUUUUUUUUUUUUUUGCCUCUGUUUAUUUACUAUUUCGAUAAUUGGAGGUAAGGAAAAAUAUAUAAAUAAAAUAACUUUUUGGAUGUUGAUCUUUCAACAUAUUUUGAGAUCCACUCGUUUAGAUGUAUCUUUGCAUAUACUUAUGCCUUUGUAUACUCUUUGGAAACAUAAGAUUGACUUCUUUUUUUUUUUCAGAAGCACUUUAGGUACUUCCUAUUAAAGACGAUGAAGCAGAAUCUGAGAUCUUGGUCAUACUCGAAAAACAAGGAAAAAGACGUGAAGGAGGAAAGGUGGUUCUUGAAGAACGGAAGCAAGUUCUUAAAAGAACUUAUCGCUGAUUGUAACGGUAAAUCCAUUCCUAUACGCAGUUUUUCUUCUCACCAGAUCCUUAAAGCCACCAAGAACUUCGAUUCCAGUUGUUUUGUCACCAAAGAAGGGUUCUACAUUUGGUACAAAGGUGAAAUCGAAGAUAGAUCUUACAUGAUCAAGAGAUUCUCCGAGUAUAAAGUUACAGAUUACAGAGAAGGAGAGGUAUACAAAGACAUCGUCUUGUCUGCUCGGAUGAGCAACCACAACAAUUUUCUUAAACUAUUAGGAUGUUGUCUUGAGUUCCCUUAUCCGGUUCUGGUAUUUGAAUUCGCAGAACAUGGAGUUUUAAAUCAUCGAGGAGGUAUUACGGUUAAUGGGGAGGAAUCGUUAUUGCCUUUGAGUUUGAGGUUGAAGAUUGGGAAAGAGAUUGCAAAUGCCUUGGCUUAUCUUCACAUGGCAUUCCCUAAGAUCAUCAUAUAUAGAGAUGUUAAGCCAAUGCACGUUUUCUUGGACAAGAACUGGACCACAAAGCUGUCUGAUUUGUCUUUCUCCAUAUCGCUCGACGAGGGAAAAUCACAAAUAGAAGCUGAAGACGUUGUGGGUACAUACGGGUACCUCGAUCCAUUAUACUUUGCAACAAGGCUUGUGACAGAAUAUACCGAUGUGUACAGCUUUGGAGUCUUAUUGAUGGUUCUUCUCACUGGCAGACCGGUUUACUUCACAGUAUCUGAUGGGUAUCGAGUUGGUAUUCUUGGAUAUGUGAAAGGCUUAUAUGAAAAUGAGAAGCUCAAUGAAGUUAUUGAUCCUAUGAUGAUGAAUGACGACAUUACAAGUGCUCAGAUAUUGCAGGUGGAAGCGUGUGUUGUACUUGCGCUGAGAUGCUGCAAGGAGAGGGAUGAAGACAGACCGAAGAUGAUUCAGGUAGCUAAAGAACUAAAGCUGAUUGAGACAUCAUUUCUGGAAUCCUAGCUAGAGAUCCUCUCUGUUCUUGAAGCUGGACCAGCACCAGCACCAUCCAUCCGUGUAAACAUGUUUCGUCGCUAACAAUUGUUUCUUCUGCUGGGACUCACAGAGCUCACAAGGGAGUGCCAAACAUAUUGAAGUUAACCGGGAAUAAACAUAUAUAUGAUGAGCAUCAAGAAGAAGGUUUUGAAGCGUAAGUACAAAAUCACACUACACUAACAGAAGGUCAAAGUUUUAUGUGUGUUCUCUCUGAGUGAUUUUGUUUUCUGUAUGAAUCUGAAUUCCACACUACAGGAAGAUAUAGUUUUCAGAGUUGGCUUUAUACAGUCCAAGAACAGAUAAUGAGCAAUCACAAUAACUUUCUUAAUCUAUUAGGAUGUCUUCUCGAGUUUCCUUUUCCGGUUCUUGUGUUUGAAUUCGCAGAUAAUGGAGUUUUGAAUCAGAGAGGAGCUAUUGUGGCUAACGGAGAAGAAUUUUUUUGUUUGCCAAUGGUUUACGGUUAAAUAUUGGGAAAAAUAUUGCAAAUGAUGUAACUUAUCUUCACAUUGCAUCCCCUAAGACCAUCAUAAAUAGAGAUGUAAAGCCAAUGCACGUUUUGGGAAAGAACUGGACUCAAAAGAUUGUUCUCUCUCCCUCAGAGGAAUCAAGUGUAGAACAUUUGGGUAUCUCGAUCAAUUACAUCAUGCCACGACUUUUGUGACGGAAUAUAAAGAUAAGUGAGAGGAAGAUAGACCAAAGAUGAUCCAAGUAGCUAAAGAACUCGAGCGGAUGAAGACAUCGCAGAGAGAUUCUAGCUACAAAUCCUCUUGUUCUUUGAAAAAACUCCUUCUUUUUGAUUAGAAAACUCUAGACAACAUCCCAAGAGCUUGAGAACGUUCUUGUUGCCGCUCAUCAAAUAGACAACAGAGGAAGGUUUUUUUAACAUCGGGCCAUCGGGGGUCCAGAUAACAUUCUUUUGGUCAUUGUAUCAAUUACAAGAUUGGAGCUAACAUUCUUCACUUUAAAUACUAUGUAUAAAAAUCAGCAAACAAAUUAUAGAAACAUAAUGGUAAUAACUAUGUAGAAUAUACUGAAGUUCCAAAACUAAUUAAUACUAUCAAUCACUAGUUAAAUCACUAGUUUUUUUUGUAGAUAAUAUAAAAUGUUAAAAAUAAAUUAGAUGUUUCACAUGUAAACAAUCCUAACAUGACAUAUUUGUUGGAGAUUUUUUUUUUUAAAAAAAAAGCUAAUACUAUCAAUCACUUGUUAAAUCACUAGGUUUUUUUGGUAGAUAAUAUAAAAUGUUAAAAAUAAAUUAGAUGUUUCACAUAUAACAAUCCUAACAUGACAUAUUUGUUGGAGAUUUUUUUUAAAAAAAAAAUAGCUAAUACUAUCAAUCACUAGUUAAAUCACUAGUUUUUUUUUGUAGAUAAUAUAAAAUGUUAAAAAUAAAUUAGAUGUUUCACAUGUAACAAUCCUAACAUGACAUAUUUGUUGGAGAUUUUUUUAUUAAAAAAUAGCUGUAGUAUGUGUCCAAUUUUAAUCCCAUGAGGAGGGAAACCAGAUUUAAAAUGCACCAUCCACAAAUCAAAAAUUUAAAGAAAAGAAUGAAGAAGAGAAAGUUUAUUCUUGAAUAACUUUCUCUGUUUUAUUAAUAAACAAGUGAAAUGGAAAUAGGUAGGACAAUGAAUAAGAUCACACAAAUAGUAUUAUUACAUAAAAUGAAAGGUAUAGCUUAGUGCAAGUAGUAGCUGAAGAGGGACACAAGGGAAGCCCCAACCAAAGAGCCAAGAGCCGGCAAUGCAGCCGAGGCGGCGGAUGCGGCGGGUCCUGGUGCCGGAGCUCCGGCUUCCUCCAUAGCCAUAACGGCGGUCAUGGAGGCAGCAGCGAAAAGCACACCGCAGGCGAUCUUCUUCAUCUCCAUUGUUGAGACCUGAAAGGGGUUUUUUCUUCUUUUUUUAUUUAGUUUUUUUUUUUGUGUUUUUGAAGUUCUUGC
This 22942-nucleotide long non-coding RNA is filed under the name Eutrema salsugineum. Its description in RNAcentral is "long non-coding RNA (ESAL_LNC001280)". The stretch from base 3467 to 3662 matches the Rfam family "U2 spliceosomal RNA". Lineage: Eukaryota; Viridiplantae; Streptophyta; Magnoliopsida; Brassicales; Brassicaceae. The record is from RNAcentral.